GCUGCUAAAGCUCCUAGCCCUGCUUACACGAUGCUCUUGCAGGGACCCGAAGCGUCCAACCCAACCAAUGACCACUGGAUACUAAACAAUUAAUCAUAUAUGAAUAUACGACAGAUCUGCAUACUCAUUUAUCUUACAAAAGUUGGCAUGUGGAAGGAAUACACCCUGGAUGGAACAGCAGAUUAAAUCUGAACAGAAAAGACGAAACCCUGACAAACCCAAGUCCCUAUGGCUCCAGGAGUUUUCUCCAUACUGACUGCUUUUCUGAACCGUACAGGGUGUUAAUCAGGAGGAGAGGGAAUUCCCAGUGCUGAGCCGAGCCAAGAGAAGCAGCAGCCCUGAAUACCUGUCAGGUGUACGGUGACAUGACAUUGUUUAGCCAGAGCAAGAUUGAUUGUGGAAGGCCAAGACAGUGAAGACGUUGCUGAUGGGUUAUGUUUCUGAUUGCCUGAGAAAUGAUGCCUGCAUUAUCUGUAGUCAUGUCAAACUGCAGAGAGAUAGGGAGAGGGGAAGAAAACAGCAGAAAGAGAGCGUGGAAUAAGUCCAAGAUCCGCCGUUAAACUCUAAUUCUUUCAUUACCAAACUUUAGGCUUGAAUCUCUGUUGAAAGUGUGUCAGAAGCAUAAUUUAAGCAUAAUUUUCUGAUGUUAUGUGUCCAAGCUCUAUAUGUGAGAAAUGUACUGAUGACACUGAGAUUCGAAUGGCCUUUCAGAUAAUUAUCCUCCCACUUCAACAAAUGGACUUGACCAUGCAUGUGGGAUUUCUUCACUGCUGCUUCUGAGAAUGUGCUCCUUUGAAUGCUAGCUAUGUUAAGAGCUCCUAUGAAUAACCACUGUACAUUUAACUGGACACUUAAGUAUCAUUUUGAGAGAAUGAGACAUUACAAUGACAGUUUAUUUUUCCAUCCAGCCCCUAAGUAUGGCAUAUCACCUAGAAAAUCCUGCAUAAUAUAAUUAUCUCCACAAGUAGAUCAUUAUCUGUAACAUAUUAUUAAGAACAAUUGAUUAACAAUAAUUUGUAGUUUAAAGAAAUGGACUGUCCAAACAUUUGAGUAAAGUGACCUCAUGUAUUAUGUACAGAAGCAGAGAAAUCCCAUAUUUCAGAUUUCCCAUAUUUUCUUUUUCUUAUUCUGUCUAGCAAUCCCUCCGUGACAGGAAAAUCUGAUUCCAGUCUUUUGCAUACUGUGUGUGUGUGUGUUUGUGUGUGUGUGUCUGUCCGUCUCACAAUGACACAAUGGUUGUCGUCACAUAGUCUGGGGUUGUAAUAUGCUGAGAGUGGACAGAAAAGGA
Molecule: long non-coding RNA, 1288 nt
Organism: Clarias gariepinus (North African catfish)
Lineage: Eukaryota; Metazoa; Chordata; Actinopteri; Siluriformes; Clariidae
Exons: 3
Source: RefSeq, a predicted model, not a curated record